Molecule: long non-coding RNA, 1900 nt
Filed under: Canis lupus familiaris (dog)
Lineage: Eukaryota; Metazoa; Chordata; Mammalia; Carnivora; Canidae
Description: lncRNA (ENSCAFG00000055497.1)
Source: RNAcentral
CCAUUUGUUUUGUUUCUUAUAUUCUACAUAUGAGUAAAAUCAUAUGGUAUUUGUCUUUCCCUGACUGACGUAUUUCACUUAGCAUUAUACACUGUAGGCCUAUGCAUGUUGUUACAAAUGGCAAGAUCUUAUUCCUUUUUUAUGGCUGAGUAAUAUUCUAUAGGAUAUAUAUAUAUAUAUAUAUAUAUAUAUAUAUAUAUACCAUAUCCUCUUUAUCCAUUCAUCCAUCAAUGGAUUCUUGGGCUGCUUCCAUAUCUUGGCUAUUGUAAAUAAUGUUGCAAUAAACAUAGGGGUACAUAUAGCUUUUCAAAUUACUGUUUUCAUUUUUUGGGGGUAAAUAUCUAGUAGUGAAUUACUGGAUCAUAUGGUGUUUCUAUUUUUAAAUUUUUGAAAACCUCCAUACCAUUUUCCACAGUGGCUAUACCAAUUGAUAUUGCCACCAAUAGUGCACUGAGAGUUCUUUUUUCACCACAUCAUCACCAACUCUUGUUAUUUCUUGUGGUUUUUUAUUUUAGCCAUUCUGACAGGUGUUAAGUGAUAUCUCAUUGUCAUUUUGAUUUGCAUUUCCCUGAUAGUGAUGUUAAGCAUAUUUUCAUGUGUCUGUUUGUCUUCUUUGGAAAAAAUGUCUAUUUAGGUCCUCUGCCCAUUUUUUUUAUUAUUUUUUGGUGUUGAGUUGUAUAAGUUCUUUAUACAUUUUAGAUAUUAACCCCUUAUCAGAUGUAUCAUUUGUGAAUACCUUCUCCCAUUCAAUGGCCUGCCUUUCCAUUAUUUUGAUGGUUUCCUUCACUGUGCAGAGUUUUUUUAUUUUGGGGUAGUCCCAAUAGUUUAAUUUUGCCUUAAUUUCCCUUGCCAAUGGAGAUAUAUCUAGGAAAAUGUUUCUACGGCUGAUGUCCUAGAAGGAAAUAUCGGUAGGAAUCUCUUGGAGUUUAAUGGUCUUAGAUCUUAUAUUUAGGUCUUUAAACUGUCUUGAGAUUAUUUUUAUGUAUGGUUUAGGAAAGUGAUCCAAUUUUUCCAAAACCAUUUAUUGAAGAUACUAUUUUCCAUUGUAUAUUCUUGCCUCCUCUGUGGAUUAAUUGAACAUGGAAGUAUGGGUUUAUUUCUCAGCUCUUAUUCUGUUGCAUUGAUCUAUGAGUUUUUUUGCCAGUACCAUAUUGUUUGAUGGCUGCAGCUUUGUAGUAUAUUAUGAAAUCUGGAUUGUGAUACCUCCAGCUUUGUCUUUCAAGAUUGCUUUGGCUAAUUCACAGUCUUCUAUGGUUACAUAUAAAUUUUAGGAUUAUUAUAGUUCUGUGAAAAAUGUUGGCAUUAAAUCUUUAGAUUGUUCUGGAUAGUAGGGAUGUAUUUUCACAUGUAUUUUAAUAGAAAAUUGAAAGAAGCUCCCAUGGGGUCCGCCAGCCUGAGGAAAUUUUAAAGAUGAAGCCCUCUAGCUAUUUCUUAGACAAAACAACAUUGCUGUUGUUUGAAUUCGGAUAGUGCUUUACUAUGAUUUGGCUGUACGUUUUCAUCAAGAAGAAAGAUCUUCUUUAGGAAAGAAAUGGGACAAAGAAAGGGAGUUGCAAAUUGGCAAAACUAAAAUAAAUCCAGGGUAGCCAAUAAUAAAUAAUACCAAUAACACCAAUAACCAAUUCAUUUUGAAUUUUUCAGUUUCCCAAAACAUUUUAGAGAUUUGCUUUUGAGUAUCUUGUAUUGCUCAUAUUUCAGACACAAGUAGUUCCUAGAAGAAAAAAAUACAUAUUUGAGGAGUUUCACCCCAAGCACAAGUCAUAUAUGUAAUUUUUCACAUCUGACCAUAGGCAACUAAUUACAAGGUUUUGCCUGGCAGGCAUCAUGGGGAAAAGUUGCCCUUCCCACAUUAGACACAUUGCAUGGCUAAGGCAUUACAGUUUUCUUGAGGAGUUGCAAU